Molecule: non-coding RNA, 26 nt
Filed under: Homo sapiens (human)
Lineage: Eukaryota; Metazoa; Chordata; Mammalia; Primates; Hominidae
Source: RNAcentral
UAGAAAACACGGCUUAUUGUAGAUGC